This 784-nucleotide long non-coding RNA is filed under the name Rosa chinensis. Its description in RNAcentral is "sRNA RchiOBHm_Chr2g0121331". Lineage: Eukaryota; Viridiplantae; Streptophyta; Magnoliopsida; Rosales; Rosaceae. The record is from RNAcentral.
GGCAACCUAGGAAUUACCACCAUUGCUAAAUAAGCAUGUGUCCCUAUUUGUGCCCGUCGUGGGACUCCCUUAGAUAAACCCCUUUGAGCUUACAUUAAGCCUUUUCUUUCAUCACCCUUAAAUCCUUAACCAUGAAGCUUAGUAUAGUUACAACCCUACCCUUUGUUCUAAGAACUUAGUGGAGCUAUCUUUUUGAGACAUACUACGUGGGUUUGGUGCUAAGGAUGAAAAUUGAGAAGAGGUGAAAGUUCAAGUGUGGGGGUAGACUUGUCCAUAAAGAAAAAAAAUAUGUGAAAGCCGUGAAAAAUGAAAAGAAAAGAAAAAAUUGUGUACGGCUAGAAAAGAAAAGAAAGAAAAAUGUUUAUGGAUUUUAGUCUCCCAUACUUAGUGAUUUUGGAGUUUACUUUGAACUGAAGGCCCACUACAGAAAAAUUUGGCCUUUGUCCAUUCCACUAUAGUUCUAGGGAAGUUUACAAUGAAGAUUUGGCCCAACAUGAAGACAUUAGGCCCUUUUAUGUUACCUCUAGGGAAAGUGACGUUUUUGAAAUGCCUUGGUGGAUUUCUUGAGGUCUCUACAUCUACAUGUGCUCUGCUAGGUUUUUAGGACACUUUGAUAAAUCCUUACCUUUCAUUUCUUUAAACCUUGAGCCUUAGCCCCAUUACAACCUUUGAGAAGACCUUCUUGAUCCUUAAGAUGGGACAGCCCUUGAUGUGGAGAUGAGUUACAAGAGUUGAACCUAUGGCUUGGGUCCAUCUGUGCAAAAAGAGUGGAUAUACCUUGUGA